ACAUGUCCCUCUAUACAACAGGUACAAGGCUCAGGAUGUGGAAUUCCCAUCUUUGGGUGAUAAUGCCAAUUUGUACCAGAGAAAACAACAAAACCAAAACUAGAAAAGCCUUCUCCCCGUAACAAGUCUACAUACUCAAAGAAGAGGAGACAGGUACUAGAUGUUGAUGACUUCUCCCUGCAGGGAAAUGAAUGCCUAGUAUGUGCCAUGCAGAUCGUCUUCUUAGAGAACUCUGCUGCAUCCCUGGGACUUGGGUGAAGGACGUCACCAUGAAACUAUCAAGCAUGGUACGAUCAACAGACCAUUACCCAUUACUGCUUUACCAAGAGGAUAGUGAUGAAGAAGUUACAAGCAGUGUAAAGGUCAUCAGAAGGGACUCCGGAACCUCGGAAAACUGCCUGAAGAAACUGAGAGUACAGAACAUCUUUUUCCUGCUUCCUAUACUGGGAGAUUUCAGCCACCUGGAUGUCUGACUGGAAUACAUGACUGCAGACUACAAUCAAUACUAAAGAUUCUUGAAGUAUGUUGAGUAUAAUUUUGUAGUGCAGGUAUGAGAUAAGCUGACCCGCAGAGAAACAUUUCUGAACCUGGUGCUCACCAUUGCAGAGGAAGUCAUUAAGGAUGUUACGAUCAGAGGCAGUGUGGACUGUAUUGACCAUGAUCUAACAGAGUUUGUGAUCCUGAGGAGGAUGUGUCCGCCAAAGAAGCAAAGUCAGGAUCCUAAACAACAGGAGAUCAAACGUCAAUCUAUUAUAAGGAAUUACUAGACAAGAUACCCUGAGAUGAUUGGCUGGGCAAGGACCUUCUGGUGAAACUGAGGGAUAAGAAAGACAUGCAGGGAAACUCUGGAAUUCUGGGUUAAUUCUUCAGAUCAUUUGGAUACCAGCAUGCAAAAAAAGUACUGCAAGACAAACAAGAAUGGGAUCAUGCACUGUACAAGUUAACUUAUAAACACUGCUGAAAUAUGUACUGUAUUUGCACAAUAAAUGCAAGGUGAUUUAUUCCUCUCUCC
This is a long non-coding RNA of Gallus gallus (chicken), 1012 nucleotides long. The record is from Ensembl. Lineage: Eukaryota; Metazoa; Chordata; Aves; Galliformes; Phasianidae.